RNAcentral lists this non-coding RNA (130 nucleotides) under unclassified sequences. RNAcentral describes it as "RT-16 RNA". It matches the Rfam family "RT-16 RNA". Rfam says of the family: candidate division DUSEL4 (Archaea). Nearby to self-splicing intron genes The record is from Rfam by way of RNAcentral.
CUCUGAAACCUAGAGCCACAUGUCAGUUUAUAGAACCAUUUUGUGGGCAUAAAAUACAUCUGCGACAGAUAGUAGCACAGUUUGUGAAACUUGAAGCAGAGGUGAUUAAAGAAUAAAUUGGCUAAAAGGA